This 520-nucleotide ribosomal RNA is filed under the name uncultured Glomus. RNAcentral's name for it is "SSU rRNA". It matches the Rfam family "Eukaryotic small subunit ribosomal RNA", at positions 569 to 1091 of the family's 1831-position model. The record is from RNAcentral. Lineage: Eukaryota; Fungi; Glomeromycota; Glomeromycetes; Glomerales; Glomeraceae.
AGCAGCCGCGGUAAUUCCAGCUCCAAUAGCGUAUAUUAAAGUUGUUGCAGUUAAAAAGCUCGUAGUUGAAUUUCGGGAUUAGUGCGCCGGUCGUGCCUUCGGUAUGUACUGGUGUUACUGGUUCCUACCUUCUGACGAACCGUCAUGUCAUUAAUUUGGUGUGGCGGGGAAUCAGGACUGUUACUUUGAAAAAAUUAGAGUGUUUAAAGCAGGCUCGCGCUUGAAUACAUUAGCAUGGAAUAAUGAAAUAGGACGUUCGAUCCUAUUUUGUUGGUUUCUAGGAUUGACGUAAUGAUUAAUAGGGAUAGUUGGGGGCAUUAGUAUUCAAUUGUCAGAGGUGAAAUUCUUGGAUUUAUUGAAGACUAACUACUGCGAAAGCAUUUGCCAAGGAUGUUUUCAUUAAUCAAGAACGAAAGUUAGGGGAUCGAAGACGAUCAGAUACCGUCGUAGUCUUAACCAUAAACUAUGCCGACUAGGGAUCGGAUGAUGUUAAUUUUUAAUGACUCAUUCGGCGCCUUAC